This is a long non-coding RNA of Meriones unguiculatus (Mongolian gerbil), 4475 nucleotides long. RefSeq lists it as uncharacterized. Lineage: Eukaryota; Metazoa; Chordata; Mammalia; Rodentia; Muridae. The record is from RefSeq and is a predicted model, not a curated record. The transcript is spliced from 4 exons.
CCCGCGUACAACCAAUCCGUGAUGCUCGGAGGCGGGGUGGCGCGUUAGGGUGUGCCAGCGGUCCUCACGACGCGCGCAUUCACCUGGUCUGCUGCGGCCGCGCGCCCGGGAACGCGGGGGUUGCAGGGACCGAAUCCGCGGUGAGGGACAUCAGGGACGUCGGGGAAAGGGAUGUAAGAGAUCGUUGUCACCGUGGAUGGGGUGUCACCAAGGCAGGGGCGAGGGGUUGCUGUGUCUGGGAAAACCUUGGGAUUAGGGACGAGCGCGUAGAGGAGGCACCUUGUGGACCUGAGGAGCUGAGCCUAGUUCUCAGUGGGACUUGAAGCAGGCUGGGGUGGCGGAGGACAGGUGGGUGGAGGGCGGUUCUGUCGAGGUUGCUUUACUUGGACAUUCCGUUCGCUUUCACGCUGGCGCAGCCCAGCCCCCCUGACCAGCGCCGCUCUUCCACCUGUCACCAGCUGGUUCUCCUUGAGGUUCCGGCCCGUUGACCACAGUACUUCAGUUGGUGUAGAGGAAGUUGAUGUGAGCCUUGCGGAGCUCGUGGGUUAGGACACUCACCUCUUCUCUGCUGUGGGAAAAGGGGAAGACAGAGGUGUGAAGCCUCAGGUGGAACCUGUUCUUCGGCGCAGGAUUCUUCGCGAGAGCCCUGACCCUCGCUUCCAUUCAUCGAUUUAGCCACACAGGCUGGAUUCCUGGAUGCUAACUUCCUACUUUUGGGCUCAGUACAGACCCUGAGGCCAACAGGACCCAGACCUCUCUUCCGUGUCGCAAUUCCACCUUUCCUCCAAUUACUGUGCCUGGCUUUUGGCUUCAUUAUAACCAGCAAUCCCCGACACUUGGAAGAAAACUAAAGCGGACAUCUGGAAGAAAUGCGGGCUCCUGGGGUCCUGCGGAAUUGAAAGGAACAGCUACCGGGGCAGUCGCUCCUCUUCAACUCCAUCCCACCUCCCGCCCCCCGCCCCGCCCUCCGCGCUCCGCCCCCCGCCCCCCGCCCCCUGUCCGUGCGUUCCAUGUUGUUAGAAUGGUCACCAGGUGGCGCUGCAGACCCGCCGUUUGGGUGCUCAGGGCCUCGCCCGGGUCAGGGUCUGCGUCAAACAGCGCCUAGGAAGUAAGUCCUGAGUUUCCAGAGUGUUGAGACUGAUUGGCCCAUUUUCUGAUGUUUGGCGCCUGAAGAACAAUACCAGAAGGUCUCUCUCGUAGGCUGGCUGGAAGGCUCACCAGAUCAGGGCAUUUGGGCCUGACAGAUCCCCAUGACCCACUUGGUAGAAGAGAACCAUCCUGUGAUGACACUUGGACGACACUUGGGAUCAGCCACAGCCACACGCUGGCGACUCUAACACCGGACUCAGACUGAUAGAAGUUUUUUGAAUGCUGAACAAAAUCAUACCGGUCAGGGCCAUGGCCUGGAUUCGGGAACCAGACUGUGAUGUCGGUCUGCUUCUGAUGCAAAGUUUUUUAUACGGAAAAACUGUAACCAGGUAACAACCAGGUAACCAGGUAUAGGAAACAAGAGGGGGCAGCAUUACAUCAUUUUGACCAGCUGAGCAUAGUUGAUUUUGUUCCAAGUGUAUUGUAUUGUAUCUAGGUGGCUAGACAAAGCACUUUAAGCUGAUUGGCUGGGAUUUAGGGUAGGGGAGCUUUUGGGGGCUUUUAAGCUUUCUGGGAAUAAGGGUCACAGCAGGAUGUUUCGGUCUCAGAGAACAUACAUUUAUCUUUAACUGUUGGUUUAUUCUAAGCAGCAAGUGUUGAACUAUUGAAUUGUAUCCUGGUCUUAGGCACAUAGGGCCUGAGAACUUGAACUUAAUUUCACCUUAUAAUCAAAAUGGAGACUUGGAAGCAAAAUGGUUUCUGAUACCCUAAAGGCAACAGCAGGUGUUAACAGAGGAGCCACAGUUGUGGUAAGAAGGAAAGCAGGGGUCAGCGGAGGGGCUAAAGAGUUUAAGCAGGUUAAACAGGUGACCACGCACUUUUAUUUUAUCUAUUUAUUUUUGGAAUUUUUUUUGAAAAAAAAAUUGUAAGAGCAUAUUCUAAGAAUAUAUUCUAAUCUUGGCUUACUCUUCCCCAAAUCCUCCCAGAUCUUCCCCACCCAUCCAACUCCACAUUCUUUCUCUCUCACUUUAGAAAACAAACAGGUGCCAUGCCUGUAAUCCUACCACUCUGGGAGGAAGAGACAGAUGGAUCUCUGAGUUCGAGGCCAGCCUGGUCUACAAAGUGAGUUCAGGACAGCCAACAGCCAGGAACACACAGAGAAACCCUAUCUUGAAACAAACAAAACAAAACAAAAAAAACCCCAAACAAAACAACCCCCCAUAAAAAGACAAACUCAGAUAUCAUAUUAUACAAGCAAAAGACCAGUAGGCAAAAAAAAAAAAAAAAAGCUUAAACAAAGCAAUAUGAGACAAAGUCUAUUACUACUAUCAUUUUGUGUUGGUCAUAAACAUCUAGGCUUGGGACCUACCCUUAAGUUAAUAUAUCCAUUCAGUGGGACUCCAUUGGAGACAACAGAUGUCAAAGAGAGAUAGCUUCUUGGUGAGGGCUGGGCGCUCUUGUCCAUUCCCUCCCUCAGUGCUGGGACUUGCCCGUGUUGCCACAGCCUCAGUGAGUUCAUCAUAUGUCCGUCAGUCCUGUUGUGUCUAGCCUGUUUCCAUCCCCUCCGGCUCCUAAGUCCUUCUAUCUCCUCUUCCACAGAGAUUCCUGAGCCCGGAGGGAAGGCGUUUGAUGAAAACUUCUCGUUUAGGACUGAGUGUUCCAAAAUCUUUCACUCUCUGCAUUUUAUAGCUGUGGUUCUCUGUGUUAGUUCCCAUCUAUUGCCAUAAAGGAAGCUUCCCUGGUGUUGGCUGAACAAGGCACUGAUCUGAGGCCCAGCCCAUUUCUACUAAAACAAAACAAAACAAAACAAACCCUUCACUGACCCCAAACACCUCAGGAAAAAAGUUUCCUCUUGUGAACAUCCUGAAGAUGUGUAAAUUUAAUUUAAAAAUGUGUUUUUCUCUUGUUAAACAAGAAAACAAUUAGCUGUGUUCUUAUGCCCAGCAAAGAGACCUCGUAGGGAUUAAGGGACCACAUGACAUAAGGGAGGCAUGACUGUCUCCACACUGUUCCAGAAGCGAAGGACUGUCCUGGCAUCACCAAAAGUUGAUGAGGUCCUCCCAGCUGCCAUUUGUCCUUAUCUGCCACUCCAGGCUCAGUCUUUUGUUUUAACCAGUUAGACCUUGGGCUGACUCACCCAAACUGCAAACGCCUACCCAGCAGGCUGGGCUGUGCCUUCCUUUAGCUUCCUCCUCAACAGACUGUAGCCCCAAGAGGACCCUGGGGCUGCCCAGGUCAGGUGUAGAGUGGAAUGGACGUGGGGAGUGUUUGCCCGCUAGGAUCUCAACAUGAAAACAACAUAGCUCAUUCAUUAGCUUAAAUCGGUAUGGCACGCAAUGACAGAAAUUGAAGUGUUCAAGUUUGAAUAUAAAUUCUUUCCUAAGAUCCAAAAUAAGCACAUCAUAUCAGAAAUAUGGUCAUGAUUGUGUUUUUCCAUGUCAGAGUUUAAUUGAAUAAAAAUAAGCUCACAAACUAUGUUAGUUGGUGUUAUUGUAAUUUAAAGUAGUUCAGAUUUCUCUUGACAUUAUGGUCACAACGAUCACAAGUUCCUUUAUUCCAAUUUGUUUGUUUGUUUGUAGCCAUGGCUGUCAUGGAAUUCAUUAGUAGACUAGGCUGGCCUCUAACUCCCAGAGAUCCAUCUGCUUCUGCAGCCUGAGUGCCGGGAUCAAAGGUGUGUGCCACCAUGCCCAGCCUUUAUUAUAUAUAUAACCCUUAACUCCUAAUACUGAUCUGCAUCCAGUGAAGUCUAAUGCUGCUUUGUAAAAUGUAGUCUCUUAGGGCAAAGCACAGACUGAAAUUCACUAUUCCACUCAGUAUGGAGUGCCUUACAGAAGGGCACAGCCUCAUAUCCAUAAAUGUCCCAAGGAGAAGUUUUAGUGCAAGAACACCUUAAGUAAGCCAAACCCAAUUACAAUUAUUUAUUUAUAUUUGAGGUAGAGUCUUGCUUUGUAGCUCAUGCUAGCCUUCAGCUUAUAAUCAUCUUGCUAGGAUUACAGGCCUGAACCAUGAUACCUGGUUCUCUCUCUCUCUCCUUGCCUCCUUCUCUCCAUCUCCAUCCAAUAAACUCUUUCAUAUAGUAUCUGUUGUGUGCAUCCUUUUUAAACAAUAACAGCUUGGAUUCUAAUUUCUUUUGUUUGUUUUUUUGAGACAGAGUUUCUCUGUGUAGCCCUGACUGUCCUAGAACUCACUCUGUAGACCAGGCUGGCCUUGAGCUCACAGAGAACUGCCUGCCUCUGCCUGGGUUUACAGGCGUUUGCCACUAUGCCUGGCAUCGAACUCUAAUUCUUAAGGACAAAUCCAAAAUAGAUUGUAAUGGAGAAAUAUUCCAAACAUGUGACAAUAAAGACUGGUCAAGAAAAACAAAGUGUCCCACUCUUGCUACUGAU